ACAGGUGAUGUUCUAUCAGGAUGGAGUCUGAUGUCUGGUCAGAUCAUGUAAUGUAGCUUCCAGAAUUGAGCCAGAGCCAGAGAAACAUCCUGGCAACUUGGAAGACCAAAUGAUUGGCAAGAAGGUUCAAGAAAUCCUACGGACAGAAGACACAUCUAGUAGAAGGUCACACAGCUCUUCUGUUCCGCCUAUUCAGUUUUUAGUAUUUUCCACACUUUUGUAUGUCUAAUUUUCUAAAUUGCAAUAUCAACCCAAACUCUGUUUUUAGGAAAAAAUGCAAAAAUUCAAAAUUGGGAUGAAAUUUAUGCCCAGAAACAACCAAAUUUUUUUGUUAACCAACAAUGUAGGAAUCACUGCAAACUCAGUUUUUUCUUUUAGCAUUGAGAGACUUUAAACAGCACACAUAGUAAUAAGCUGUUUCCAAAACAUCAGCUCAGUUAAUGUCACCCUUCAGUUUUCAUCGUCAUUACUCAAGGGGAUUUCUAGUUCCUACAUAAUGAAUGUUUUAAGAUAAAGUAAAAACUGUAAGAAUGGAUUAAAACCGUGAGCUGAUGUUGGUA
Long non-coding RNA from Ochotona princeps (American pika), 560 nucleotides. RefSeq lists it as uncharacterized. The record is from RefSeq and is a predicted model, not a curated record. The transcript is spliced from 3 exons. NCBI's taxonomy places the organism in Eukaryota, Metazoa, Chordata, Mammalia, Lagomorpha, Ochotonidae.